Molecule: long non-coding RNA, 255 nt
Filed under: Nicotiana benthamiana
Lineage: Eukaryota; Viridiplantae; Streptophyta; Magnoliopsida; Solanales; Solanaceae
Description: long non-coding RNA (NBEN_LNC012906)
Source: RNAcentral
CUUAGCCAUUUUGAACCCCUCCAGUAGAGCCUUUAACUCUGCUUCUAGUGAUACGCCUGCAUAUGAUGGCUUACCAAAUCCCACAAUCCAGUGUCCUUUGGCAUCUCUGAAAAUACCUUCCAAUCCAUAAUUUUGUAUAACACUGUCAAAACUAGCGUCAAUAUUAAGUUUAGUCCAUCCUUUUGAGGGUUUGUGCAAUGCAAUUUUGAUGUGGAUUUUUGGAGGAAUGUACAUGUUUUUUUCAGUAAGGAGUUU